This 266-nucleotide ribosomal RNA is filed under the name uncultured bacterium. RNAcentral describes it as "partial 16S ribosomal RNA". It matches the Rfam family "Bacterial small subunit ribosomal RNA", at positions 793 to 1055 of the family's 1533-position model. The record is from RNAcentral.
GUCCACGCCGUAAACGAUGGAUGCUAGCCGUUGGCGGGUUUACUCGUCAGUGGCGCAGCUAACGCAUUAAGCAUCCCGCCUGGGGAGUACGGUCGCAAGAUUAAAACUCAAAGGAAUUGACGGGGGCCCGCACAAGCGGUGGAGCAUGUGGUUCAAUUAGAAGCAACGCGAAGAACCUUACCAACCUUUGACAUGUCCCGUAUGGGUUCCAGAGAUGGGAUCCUUCAGUUCGGCUGGCGGGAACACAGGUGCUGCAUGGCUGUCGU